AUGUGGAAGCUGAAGGUGUCAGAGGGUGGUGGGCCGUGGUUGCGGUCGGUGAACAACUUCCUUGGCAGGGCAGUUUGGGAGUUCGACCCAGACCAUGGCACGCCGGAGGAGCGCGCCGAGGUCGACAGACUGCGCCAGGAGUUCACCCAGCGCCGCUUCCACAAAAGGGAGUCACAGGAUCUUCUUAUGCGCAUGCAGUAUGCAAAGGAAAAGCCUCUUCAGGAGCAUCUUCCGGCUAUCAAGCUGGUAGAUAUUGCUCAAGUCUCAGAAGAGACUAUUUUAACAUCAUUGAGGCGAGCCCUUAGUCAGCACUCUGCUCUGCAAGCACACGAUGGGCAUUGGCCUGGCGAUUACAGUGGAAUUAUGUUCAUUAUGCCCAUCUUGAUAUUUGCUCUGCAUGUUACUGGAUCACUCAAUACAGUCCUUUCAAGAGAACAUCGACGUGAGAUUUGUCGCUAUAUUUACAACCAUCAGAAUGAAGAUGGUGGUUGGGGCACACAAGUGUUGGGGCCGAGCACCAUGUUUGGAUCAUGCUUAAACUAUGUUACCUUGAGGCUUCUUCGUGAGGUGGACAAUGAAGCCUUGAUCAAGGGACGUGCUUGGAUUCUAUUGCAUGGAAGUGCAGCUGCCAUACCACAAUGGGGAAAGAUAUGGCUCUCGGUGGUCGGUUUGUAUGAAUGGUCUGGAAAUAAUUCGAUCAUUCCUGAACUAUGGCUUGUCCCACAUUUUCUUCCAAUUCAUCCAGGACGAUUCUGGUGCUUUUGUCGGUUGAUUUAUAUGCCAAUGUCUUAUCUUUAUGGUAAAAAGUUUGUUGGCCCAAUUACACCAACAAUAUUGGCAAUAAGAGAGGAGCUCUAUACCACACCAUACCAUGAGGUCGAUUGGAAUAAAGCACGUGAUACUUGUGCCAAGGAAGACCUUCGUUAUCCAAGGUCGUUGCUGCAAAAUGUUAUUUGGACAUGUCUAACUAAAUUUGUGGAACCAGUGUUGAAUAGUUGGCCAGUUAAUAAGUUAAGAGAGAAAGCAUUGGAAAACCUCAUGAAACAUAUCCAUUAUGAAGAUGAAAGUACAAAAUAUAUCGGUAUAUGUCCGAUUAACAAGGCACUAGAUAUGAUUUGUUGUUGGGCCGACGAUCAAAAUUCAGAUGCAUUGAAGUUGCAUAUCCCAAGGAUCUAUGAUUAUUUAUGGCUUGCAGAAGAUGGAAUGAAAGCACAGGUAUAUGAUGGCUGUCAAAGCUGGGAGACAACUCUUAUUGUCCAAGCAUAUUACUCGACGGACCUUAUUAAUGAGUAUGGUCCAACACUUCAAAAAGCCCAUGAAUUCAUUAAAAAUUCACAGGUUAUUGAAAACCAUCCUGACAGCAAAGCUUAUUACCGGCAUAGAUCCAAAGGUUCAUGGACACUUUCAACAGCUGAUAAUGGUUGGUCUGUAUCGGAUUGUACUGCAGAAGCACUUAAGGCAUUAUUGUUGUUGUCAAAGAUCUCUCCUAAUCUUGUGGGUGAUCCAAUAAAAGGAGAACCGUUGUACGAUGCGGUGGAUUGCUUAAUUUCUUUCAUGAACAAAGAUGGUACCUUUUCUACAUACGAGUGUAAGAGAACUACUUCAUUGAUUGAGGUUCUCAACCCUUCGGAGACUUUUCUGAAUAUUAUGGUUGAUUAUCCAUCCGUAGAAUGCACAUCAUCGGUCCUUGAAGCCUUGAUUAUGUUUCGAGAAAUGCACCCAGGGUACCGCAACGAAGAGAUAGGAAUAUGCAUAAAAAAUGCGUCCAUGUUUAUUGAGAAUAGUCAACGAAAGGAUGGCUCAUGGUAUGGCACAUGGGGUAUAUGUUUCACCUAUGGAACAUUAUUUGCUGUAAAGGGAUUAAUAGCUUCUGGAAGAACUUACGAAAAUAGUUCCUUCAUUCGCAAUGCAUGCAACUUUCUGUUGUCAAAGCAGCUAAGUACAGGUGGAUGGGGAGAGACUUAUCUUUCUAGUGAAACUGAGUCUUAUGUGGAUGCCGCUAGUCCUCAUGCAGUCAACACUGCUUGGGCAAUGUUAGCUUUAAUUUAUGCAGGGCAGGUUGAGCGAGAUCCCCCGCCACUAUAUCAUGCUGCAAAAGAAUUGGUCAAUAUGCAACUAGACACAGGCGAGUUUCCCCAGCAAGAACACAUUGGAUGCUUCAACUGCUCCUUUUACUACAAUUAUGGCAACUACAGCAAUUUAUUCCCCAUCUGGGCUCUUGGGGAGCUUCGUCGUCGACUGCGUGAGAAGAACUGA
This 2256-nucleotide ribosomal RNA is filed under the name Triticum aestivum (bread wheat). RNAcentral's name for it is "partial small subunit ribosomal RNA". Lineage: Eukaryota; Viridiplantae; Streptophyta; Magnoliopsida; Poales; Poaceae. The record is from RNAcentral.